GCGUGCAGUGAUGGUUAACCAUCUUUCGGGUCUGAUUAUGAUGAAACCGAUUUUUGCUGAGCACGC
RNAcentral lists this small nucleolar RNA (66 nucleotides) under Toxocara canis (dog roundworm). RNAcentral's name for it is "Small nucleolar RNA SNORD2". It matches the Rfam family "Small nucleolar RNA SNORD2". Lineage: Eukaryota; Metazoa; Nematoda; Chromadorea; Rhabditida; Toxocaridae. The record is from Rfam by way of RNAcentral.